UAAUGAAUUCAGCCCCUCCUCCUCCAAAACGCUCCCAUCUUGGAUUCCCACUGCAAUAAGAGGCAACUUGCGAUGUGGAAUAGAGGACCCUCCGUCGAUAACAGCCGAAUGAGCGGAGCGUCACUCAUUGAACGGUUCAUUGCAAUUUUCAUUACCCCGCUUGUCUGCCAGACCGCUAUUUCAACCACAAGGAGAACAUUCGGAGUCCCCACUCCAGCGCUCGCGCAGCCGGAGAUGCUGGCUUCCGCCGUUCGCAAGACAUUUUCUGCUUUAAUCUCUCGAGGCUAAUUCUUGUUCGGCGCUCUGAUGGGCGUUUAUUUUAUUAUUUUUUCCUUUGGAUUCUUAUCCGGAUUUUUCCCCGAAAGCACUAAAUGAAGAGGAUAAAUCUGCGCUGGAAAUCACCGCCCAUGUGGCCGUCCGGAGUGGGUAACAGGCUGCCUUGUCCCCGGGAAUCUGCGCUCCGCAGGGCGGCCCUCAGUGGAAACGUCCUCGCGCUCCCCCCGUACCACGUACCCACUGGCAGAAGCGUCCGGGUGUUCAUCAGCGCCAACCCCGACGACACAGAGGCGGAGAGGAACGCUCUGAAGGAACACGUGUAUCCGAAACUACGGGACUUCUGCCGGGAGAACUAUGGGAUUGAAUUUCAGGUAAUAAAAGUGCUUAUUUCACCCUGGGGCUUUGCUGUGGUGUGUAGCGCUGAUUAGCCAGCUGCUUUUUAUAAUGUUUCUUUUUCUUUGAGACAACAGUGAUUCAUUCUUGCUGAAUCAUUUCUUUUUUUUAAUUUAGUGUUUAUGUGUAAAGACCUCAAAAUGAGAUUUAAGAAUCAAAACAAAAAUGCACAACGUCUUCGCUUUUUUUGUUGUUGUUGUUGUUGUUGUUGUUGUUGAUGAAGAUGUGUGAAAUAUAGGAACAGAUGUAAACUUACCACUGUAACAGUUUUGAAUGUUGUACGUCAUCUAGUCUAUCAGUUGCGUGGAAUGUUCAGACGCCAUUGUAGCCUAUCACCCAAUCACAGUCUACUGCUAAUCGCAAUAUUGGGUCAUUUACAUAAUUCAUGCAAUUGUCGAGGAAUGCAACGUUGCACAGUCAGUCAUUAGAUGAUGUCGUGGUACAUUAAGUUCAUUCUACAGACUCUGUAGAGCACACCUAUUUAUAUUGUGGAUGAUGGUGAUGAGUUUGUGGUUAAGGAUUUUGGGCUUUUGACCAGAAUGAACUGGGUUCAGAUUUUAGGUGGGGUAACUUGUUGUACCCUUUAGUAUGCCUUAAUUAACCUGAAUGGUUUCUGCAUACAUUUAGCUGUGUAAAGAGAUAACAUGAAAACCUUUGUAUCAUUUGUAAUUUUCAAUUAAUAUGAGAACAAAGAAAAUAAGCUUUAACAACAGUUGUAGGAUAACUGAACUCAUGGCUGUGUAUUUAUUAAAGUUUUUAACAUGUUUUGGGUAUUACUGAUAAGUAUGUGACUUUUAUGUGCAGCAGUCCUUUAUAUUUAUGGUAACGACAAAUGCAGUUACAUACAAUGCACUCUAGAAUAUUCUGUUCCAAACAGAUACCCACUUCAACAUACUAAAUAUACCAUCAUGGUGGUAAUUUUCAAUGUUCGCUGAGGUAUGAUUUCUUUUUUAGAUGUAGGCCUACUUGACAUUUGAAUAUUAAUUAUGAGAAUGAAACAGAUUGGAGAUCUUAUUAUAGCCAUGUGACGAGUAAGGAGUCUCUCCCACACACGAGAGCCCAUAUCUUAGCCUGAAGUGGGUUGGCAUACACGCAUGUGUAAUUACCCUUCUGCCACUCUACCACCUUAUGCACUUCGCGCCUUCCUUAUCACAUGACUAUUUUUUUCAACCAGUUAAAUAAUUAGUGCGAUGAUAAAAGUGUGCAUUAAAAUAUUCAGAAAUAUUUAAUGUUUACGUUUGUACAACGCCGAGGUUGUCCUAACUUUUUUCACUUAGAGAUUCAACAAAACUAAAACUAGAAAAUGUUGAGUGAAAUGUAUUUCAGAGCACCACAUGAACCA
Anguilla rostrata (American eel) is the source of this 2011-nucleotide long non-coding RNA. RefSeq lists it as uncharacterized. The record is from RefSeq and is a predicted model, not a curated record. The transcript is spliced from 3 exons. Lineage: Eukaryota; Metazoa; Chordata; Actinopteri; Anguilliformes; Anguillidae.